UGCGUAGGCUAGGUGACCGCGAGCAUAGUGCCGUAAGGCCGUGUUCGAGGAAAGUCCGGGCUCCACAGGGCAGGGUGCUGGCUAACGGCCAGUGGGGGCAACCCUAAGGACAGUGCCACAGAAAUGAAAACCGCCGCCUAUAGGCGGUAAGGAUGCAACGGUGAGGUAAGAGCUCACCAGCGGUCAGGUGACUGACCGGCUAGGUAAACCCCACCUGGAGCAAGACCUAGUAGGAGAAGGAUGACGCUGCCCGCCGACUUCUCGGGUAGGUCGCAGGAGAUGCUGGGUAACCAGUAUCCUAGAUAGAUGGUCACCCACGACAGAACCCGGCUUACAGGCCUACGCACAAA
This 350-nucleotide RNase P RNA is filed under the name Bacillota bacterium. Its description in RNAcentral is "Firmicutes bacterium (anaerobic digester metagenome) RNase P RNA component class A". It matches the Rfam family "Bacterial RNase P class A". From Rfam's summary of the family: Ribonuclease P (RNase P) is a ubiquitous endoribonuclease, found in archaea, bacteria and eukarya as well as chloroplasts and mitochondria. Its best characterised activity is the generation of mature 5'-ends of tRNAs by cleaving the 5'-leader elements of precursor-tRNAs. Lineage: Bacteria; Bacillati; Bacillota. The record is from RNAcentral.